Dipodomys ordii (Ord's kangaroo rat) is the source of this 70-nucleotide non-coding RNA. Lineage: Eukaryota; Metazoa; Chordata; Mammalia; Rodentia; Heteromyidae. The record is from Rfam.
GGGAAGGUAGCUCAGUGGUAGAGUGCUUGCCUUGCAUGCAUAAGACCCUGGGUUCGAUUCCUCAGCACCA